Molecule: ribosomal RNA, 253 nt
Filed under: uncultured bacterium
Lineage: Bacteria
Description: partial 16S ribosomal RNA
Rfam family: Bacterial small subunit ribosomal RNA
Source: RNAcentral
UACAGAGGGGGCGAGCGUUAUUCGGAAUUAUUGGGCGUAAAGGGCGCGUAGGCGGCCUUUCAAGUGACGGGUGAAAUCCCUCGGCUUAACCGAGGAACUGCCUGUCAGACUGGAAGGCUUGAGACAGGGAGAGGUGAGUGGAAUUCCCAGUGUAGCGGUGAAAUGCGUAGAUAUUGGGAGGAACACCAGUGGCGAAGGCGGCUCACUGGACCGGUACUGACGCUGAGGCGCGAAAGCCAGGGGAGCAAACGGG